RNAcentral lists this long non-coding RNA (154 nucleotides) under Sinocyclocheilus anshuiensis. RNAcentral describes it as "lncRNA (ENSSANG00000012597.1)". Lineage: Eukaryota; Metazoa; Chordata; Actinopteri; Cypriniformes; Cyprinidae. The record is from RNAcentral.
UGCAGAUUGUGAAACCAGAACAGAUGAUUGUUGUAACACUGUCCCAUUUCAUGCUUGCAGUUACUGUAAAGAAAACAACCUGUAACUUGAGUCUGUGUGAAACAUUCUGAAGAGAGAUUGUGAAACCAGAACAGAUGAUUGUUGUAACACUGUC